This is a long non-coding RNA of Carcharodon carcharias (great white shark), 535 nucleotides long. RefSeq lists it as uncharacterized. NCBI's taxonomy places the organism in Eukaryota, Metazoa, Chordata, Chondrichthyes, Lamniformes, Lamnidae. The record is from RefSeq and is a predicted model, not a curated record. The transcript is spliced from 3 exons.
UGUGUCACCAUAGUAACCGGGCCUCCCAGCCAGCUGGUAGGCCUGUAAUCGAGGGCCCCGCUCCGCCGGUCGAGUCCCAGGCCAGGCCUGGAAUAGAAACCCCGGGGAUUGGGGGCCUGGUCUGGAGUUGGCCAAACGGGGGACGAGAUGUUUCAGAGGGAGUGAGUGAUUCAGAGGAAGCGUUGCAGUAUGACAUCUUUUGGCUGGAAGAGGAAAGCAGGGGAGAAAGUGUCAAAGGUUGCCUCACAGAACUUUGAGGCAGCAGCUGUGGAUGAUGGAUUGGUUGACGCUGAUGUGGACUGGUUGCAUGUAACCAAGCGGCAACGUAAGGCCCUGCUGGAAGACUGCACGGUGAAGAGCAAGAGGCUGAAGGAAGAGGGGAUUUUCCUGUCUGAAAAUGGAAGGUUCUCAUGAUCCUGAACGAGGUUUUCCAGGCAGUUCAAGCAGCAGAGAUGGCGGUGCGUCUCAAUCCUCAGUGGUGGGAAGCACUGCAAACCCUGGGCCGUGCUCAGCUCAGCCUGGGCGAGAUAACCAU